AUGCUCGCUUUGGUAGCACAUACACUAAAAUUAGAACAAUACAGAGACGAUUAGCACAGCCCCUGCCCAGUAAAUGAUACACAGUAACUGCAUUUCCUAUAGUUAGCAUAUAUUU
This is a non-coding RNA of Fukomys damarensis (Damara mole-rat), 115 nucleotides long. The record is from Rfam. NCBI's taxonomy places the organism in Eukaryota, Metazoa, Chordata, Mammalia, Rodentia, Bathyergidae.